GAUGAACGCUGGCGGCGUGCCUAAUACAUGCAAGUCGAGCGAACAGACGAGGAGCUUGCUCCUCUGACGUUAGCGGCGGACGGGUGAGUAACACGUGGAUAACCUACCUAUAAGACUGGGAUAACUUCGGGAAACCGGAGCUAAUACCGGAUAAUAUAUUGAACCGCAUGGUUCAAUAGUGAAAGACGGUUUUGCUGUCACUUAUAGAUGGAUCCGCGCCGCAUUAGCUAGUUGGUAAGGUAACGGCUUACCAAGGCGACGAUGCGUAGCCGACCUGAGAGGGUGAUAGGCCACACUGGAACUGAGACACGGUCCAGACUACUAAGGGAGGCAGCAGUAGGGAAUCUUCCGCAAUGGGCGAAAGCCUGACGGAGCAACGCCGCGUGAGUGAUGAAGGUCUUCGGAUCGUAAAACUCUGUUAUUAGGGAAGAACAAAUGUGUAAGUAACUAUGCACGUCUUGACGGUACCUAAUCAGAAAGCCACGGCUAACUACGUG
RNAcentral lists this ribosomal RNA (497 nucleotides) under uncultured bacterium. RNAcentral's name for it is "partial 16S ribosomal RNA". It matches the Rfam family "Bacterial small subunit ribosomal RNA", at positions 28 to 507 of the family's 1533-position model. The record is from RNAcentral.